GACGAACGCUGGCGGCGUGCUUAACACAUGCAAGUCGAACGGAAAGGCUCCAGCUUGCUGGAGUGCUCGAGUGGCGAACGGGUGAGUAACACGUGGGCAAUCUGCCCUGCACUCUGGGAUAAGCCUGGGAAACUGGGUCUAAUACCGGAUAGGACCUUUCUCCUCAUGGGGUUUGGUGGAAAGUUUUUCGGUGCAGGAUGAGCCCGCGGCCUAUCAGCUUGUUGGUGGGGUAAUGGCCUACCAAGGCGACGACGGGUAGCCGGCCUGAGAGGGUGAUCGGCCACAUUGGGACUGAGAUACGGCCCAGACUCCUACGGGAGGCAGCAGUGGGGAAUAUUGCACAAUGGGCGAAAGCCUGAUGCAGCGACGCCGCGUGAGGGAUGACGGCCUUCGGGUUGUAAACCGCUUUCAGUAGGGACGAGGCGCAAGUGACGGUACCUGCAGAAGAAGCACCGGCUAACUACGU
This 466-nucleotide ribosomal RNA is filed under the name uncultured bacterium. RNAcentral describes it as "partial 16S ribosomal RNA". It matches the Rfam family "Bacterial small subunit ribosomal RNA", at positions 28 to 506 of the family's 1533-position model. The record is from RNAcentral.